GGGCAUGUGGUGUAGUUGGUUAUCACGCUCGCUUAGCAUACCGUAGCAUGCGAGAGGGGUCCGGUUCGAUCCCGGACAUGUCCA
This 84-nucleotide transfer RNA is filed under the name Gelatoporia subvermispora B. It matches the Rfam family "tRNA". From Rfam's summary of the family: Transfer RNA (tRNA) molecules are approximately 80 nucleotides in length. Their secondary structure includes four short double-helical elements and three loops (D, anti-codon, and T loops). Lineage: Eukaryota; Fungi; Basidiomycota; Agaricomycetes; Polyporales; Gelatoporiaceae. The record is from Rfam by way of RNAcentral.